Molecule: ribosomal RNA, 46 nt
Filed under: Ageratum conyzoides
Lineage: Eukaryota; Viridiplantae; Streptophyta; Magnoliopsida; Asterales; Asteraceae
Description: partial 18S ribosomal RNA
Rfam family: Eukaryotic small subunit ribosomal RNA
Source: RNAcentral
AAAACGUAACAAGGUUUCCGUAGGUGAACCUGCGGAAGGAUCAUUG